GUGGGGAAUAUUGGACAAUGGGCGAAAGCCUGAUCCAGCCAUGCCGCGUGUGUGAAGAAGGUCUUCGGAUUGUAAAGCACUUUAAGUUGGGAGGAAGGGCAGUAAGUUAAUACCUUGCUGUUUUGACGUUACCGACAGAAUAAGCACCGGCUAACUUCGUGCCAGCAGCCGCGGUAAUACGAAGGGUGCAAGCGUUAAUCGGAAUUACUGGGCGUAAAGCGCGCGUAGGUGGUUUUGUAAGUUGGAGGUGAAAUCCCCGGGCUCAACCUGGGAAUUGCCUCCAAAACUGCAUGACUAGAGUACGGGAGAGGGUAGUGGAAUUUCCUGGGUAGCGGUGAAAUGCGUAGAUAUAGGAAGGAACACCAGUGGCGAAGGCGACUACCUGGACUGAUACUGACACUGAGGUGCGAAAGCGUGGGGAGCAAACAGGAUUAGAUACCCGUGUAGUCC
RNAcentral lists this ribosomal RNA (450 nucleotides) under uncultured bacterium. Its description in RNAcentral is "partial 16S ribosomal RNA". It matches the Rfam family "Bacterial small subunit ribosomal RNA", at positions 354 to 796 of the family's 1533-position model. The record is from RNAcentral.